AUGGGGUGCAGCAGGCGCGAAAACUUUACAAUGCGGGAAACCGUGAUAAGGGAACACUGAGUGCUAGCAUUUAUGUUAGCUGUCCACAUGUGUAAAUAGCAUGUGAUAGCAAGGGCUGGGCAAGACCGGUGCCAGCCGCCGCGGUAACACCGGCAGCCCGAGUGGUGAUCACUAUUAUUGGGUCUAAAGGGUCCGUAGCCGGUUUAAUCAGUCUUCUGGGAAAUCUAAUCGCUUAACUAUUAGGCUUCCAGGGGAUACUGUUAGACUUGGGACCGGGAGAGGUAAGAGGUACUGCAGGGGUAGGAGUGAAAUCUUGUAAUCCCUGUGAGACCACCAGUGGCGAAGGCGUCUUACCAGAACGGGUCCGACGGCGAGGGACGAAAGCUGGGGGCACGAACCGGAUUAGAUACCCGGGUAGUCCCAGCUGUAAACGAUGCUCGUUAGGUGUCAGGAACGGUGCGACUGUUUCUGGUGCCGAAGGGAAGCCGUGAAACGAGCCACCUGGGAAGUACGGCCGCAAGGCUGAAACUUAAAGGAAUUGGCGGGGGAGCAC
RNAcentral lists this ribosomal RNA (553 nucleotides) under uncultured euryarchaeote. Its description in RNAcentral is "bacterial SSU rRNA". It matches the Rfam family "Archaeal small subunit ribosomal RNA", at positions 325 to 879 of the family's 1478-position model. Lineage: Archaea; Methanobacteriati; Methanobacteriota. The record is from RNAcentral.